Molecule: transfer RNA, 67 nt
Filed under: Parafrankia sp. EAN1pec
Lineage: Bacteria; Bacillati; Actinomycetota; Actinomycetes; Frankiales; Frankiaceae
Description: Frankia sp. EAN1pec tRNA-Ser-CGA-2-1
Source: RNAcentral
GCCCGGAUACACGGUGGCUCGUCUUGUAAUCGAGCGGUUAGGGGUUCGAGUCCCCUCGCCGGCUCCA